This 6271-nucleotide long non-coding RNA is filed under the name Nicotiana tabacum (common tobacco). Its description in RNAcentral is "long non-coding RNA (NTAB_LNC001535)". The record is from RNAcentral. Lineage: Eukaryota; Viridiplantae; Streptophyta; Magnoliopsida; Solanales; Solanaceae.
CCUAUUUCUCCCACGGCUUUGGCCGCCUUAUUCCGUCACCUGAGAGUUGAGAUCUAUGUUAGUACCGGCAAAGCUGGUCUCUUGCUUCCCAACCGACCUUCUCAAAGUUGACAAAACAAAGGUUAUUUCUGAAUGACCUUUUUGGUUCGCGAAAUUUAGGUCCAGGGUUUCCAGCUUAUUACAAUUUUUGUGUAAAUCCUUAUUAGAGGACAAAAAUGAAGAGGAUUAUAGAUACUUAUCCCAAGUUAUACUAUGUUGAAUGUUUUUUUCUCUUCGAUUUAGUGAUGAUUUUUAACAGAGCCAUAUAUUGAUUUUCAUCAAUUAAAUUGUAAUUUCAUAAGGUAGCUGCUAUCUUGUAUCAGCAAAGCUACCAGGUAAUUUUGUACUCCGAGAUUAGACUGUCCUCUCAGUCUCUCCUAGGAUUUGAACCUUGGUAUCCAGCUAGAACUCUUAGAUUCAUGUGUUUCUAUAACUCACGUUUUGAAGGUUGAUUUUUAUUGGACUUUGCAGGCAUGCCUUUUCUACUUGGUACGUGGAGAACUUAACCCUGUUUGUAAGAUCAUGAGUUACUGCCUAAUUUUGUAUAUGCCAUAGGACUUCUGAUCAGCAAUGGUAUUGGUUAACAUGAUAGACUAGCAGUCAAGUAUAGUCAUAGAAUAUAAGGAAUUUAGAUCUUGUGUGCGCAAAUCUUUUUGUGAUUAUUUUAGCACCUCAGUCCUUUAUUUUCAAAGAGUAGGUUAAAUUAUUGACUCAAUUAUUCCUCAUUAUCUUCUUUUGCUUCUCGCUGGAGCAGCAAGAAGAGGAGAGAGGGUAAAUUUAUGCAGUGAAAACUUCACUUGCUCACUGAUUGAAAAAAAGCAUGUUACUCUCCUCUUAUUAAUUAUAUUGGUAAUUUCUUUUUUACAAAGAGUUUUGACUAGCUAUGUGUUACAUAAAGUAAUUGCUGUAAGCUAUUCGUAUGUCUGUUUUAUUAAUUCAUAUAAUUCUACACAUUCAUCAGGUAGUUUUACCUUGUAAUCUUGAUUGAAUUAGGGGUUGUUGCAGUCACAGUUUUGAGUGAUACAUUUUAUUGCAUUUUGUUCAUAUAUUUGGCUGUUUUUAUUCUGGACAGAGGAUGAUACCAACAUCCCCGCCAAGGAUAAAAUACCUAUUGUGCUGUUUCGUUGGCAUUUUUGUGAUCGUGAAUGGCAAUUUUCAUGUAAGCAUAUGAAUACAACCUGUGAGUAUCCCUCAAUUCUCAAUAUUGCUUUAUGAAUUACUUUGUUAUAGUGAUUGCGCUUUUGCGGUUGAAGAAUCCCAAACUGGAAAGGCUUCAACUACUUCUGAGGGGUUAUCUAUGAAACUUUUCAUUUCUUACGUUAGACAGUAGCCCGUAUAUCAAAGUUCACUUUCCUACCCACAUAUGUUUCUCUUGUGGCUCUAUAGUCAAAUUACUCAAGGCCACACAUAUACAGAACGUUUGCCAAUGAUAUGAGAUAUGGGCUUUCUGUGAUAGUUGUAAACACAAAUGCAUCAAGAUAGUGCCUGACAGAGGCCAUAAAGGAAAAGAGAAAAUAACACAAUAAUUUUGGCAUCGUUUCUUUUGUUUAUUACUUGCUAAAUAUGCACUGUAGUUGCCGUACAAAGAAGAUUGGAGUAUAAAUAAGAGAAUCUUUUCACUAAUAAUCUAUUAAGGUAUAAAUACUGUUUUAAGUAAAGAAUCAAGGAUAUUAAACAUAGAGUUUUUAAGGCUGGAAGAGACGAGUACUCUUUUGGUAAAACUCGGUUCAAUUAUCUCUCGGAUUUGCAGGAUUUGUUGUCUUUAAUUAAAGCCACAUCCUGAGGAACUUUUGGUUGUAUCUGAUAUCAGUAUAUCCCUUCCAGGUAAUGUAGUGAGUUAUGUCAUUACUUCUUUAUUUAACAGAUGAAUAGAGGAUUACACAUAGGUUCAUAUUGUUAGAACAUACACAGCGGAAGCUAGCAUACAAACCAGACAUCAAAUACAUGUAAACUAGACAAUGAUAUAAUUACUCGAUUAGAAGCACUAACCUCUUGAAAUCGUUGCACAAAUCCUCCAUACAGCAAGAAUCCAGGGCUGCAGUCUUCUGCUAUGGUCCUAAUAAGACCUUGGACGAAUUUGCUUUGAGUGGGCAAAAACAAUACAACUCUAAAAGUGAGUUAUUGGGUGAAAAUGUCUUCCUUAAGUAGACACGUUUUCAGCCAAAAAUUAGGCUCUCAAAAACGUGUAGAAUUCUAUUUGCACAAGUAGAAUCCUACUCUAACUCUACCGGAUGACUUUUCUCCCAAGUCACUUUUUACCCAAGUCAGUCCAGAUUUUUACUAGGCAUAGCAGGGACCACAGAAAUAAUAAGAGGCUACUAAUUAUAGUAUUAAUUCGAAAUUUUGCAUGAAUUAAUUCUUACUAUAAUUAAUUGCAGUUUAUUUCACUAAAAAACUGCAAUUGAACUCCUCAAUAUGAGUUUCGAAAAUUCACUAACGCUUAUUUUAACUCCCCAUGUUAAGAUCCCAAAUACCAGUUAAUUAAAUUAAAUCACUGAAAAUUUAAUUUAAUCAACUAAUUAAAUCUUUUAUAAUUCUGCUUAAACUAUUUCAUGUGACGGAUACAAAAUCCACCGGCCGAGUUUUCACAUGAAAACUUAUAAGCUUACAUGAAAGGGGUAUCAUCAAACUCAAAACCGAGCCAUGGAUUCUAUCUACUAAUUAUUAUUUCACAAAUGUUAUUCAUUAUUGUCCAAUCUAUUAGGCAUACACUAACUCUGAAUAGAGUUGUACCUUUUAAUAAAUCAAAACAAUAAACAAAUCACAUUGAUCAUAAUAAUUAUAUCAAGAUAAGGAGUAUAAGCUCAUUUUAAUGAAUAAGAGAAAAUGUUUUAUAUAUAUUCAGUACAAAUUUUUUGUCUACUUGGUUCGUUCAAUAUACACUAAGUAUACUAGCACAAGAAGUUGGAGUAAAAUCACUCCCAUAAUCAAGACAAAUUAUAUUAUAAUCUUGUGCUACAAUCAUCAAGAUAUUUUGUCCAAUAAUAUCUUUGAUUGUGAACAUAGUUUAUUAAUUAUGUGAACCGACAAUUUAAUCUUCUGUGCAUGAGCUAAAACUCCAUACACUAAAUUGUCUACUACAUAACUAAAAGGACACACAUGUAACAAAUGAUCUAUUUUAAAAGGUACUUUAUUGAAUUGAAUAAAUUAAAUAAACAAUUGUUCCAUGGGAGCUAAAUGGGAAUGGAGAUUCAGGUGAGCUAAAUGAUCGGUUUUGACUAGUAGAAGCCAGUAUACAAUGUGAUAUGAUAACACUGUGAUCUCUAAGAAGGUGCCUUGAUUCUCUCUGAAUUAUGAGGUCGAAUGCCAAAAUUGAUUUUAAGAUUUCUGAAUUUGUGUUCUCUUUUGCUUGAUUCUCAUCGACUAAGGUGAAUUUUCUUAAACAUUCCCCCUCCUCUCUAUGAACAAUAGCUGUAAUUUGUUACAUUUUUCCGUAGUUAGAGUAGAGAAGUCAUCACCAAGUAAUUCAUUCUCUCUUUAGAAUAGAGAAGUCACUGAUUAAUUCAUUCUCUCUGUCAAUCUUUUUAGCUAAUAUUGAGCGCUGAAUUCUUCUUGCUUUUAAGUGAGAAAAUUGCUUUAGUUUGCAUUUUUACUUGAUUUCUUUUGAAUUUUUUUUACAUUUAGGUUGUGCUUUGUCUUACCAUAUUGGAAGAACCUAAGCAGAGGGAAAAGGAAGAAAUAAUUGUCAGAUUGUUGUCUUUUUUCUUAUGUGUUGAGUAUAGGUUGUCUUUUUUCUUAUGUGUUGAUUAUUUCAGCAUUUAUUGUGAAUAUACUUUUCUUAGUCGAUGCAAAUAUGGUUCUCUUUUCCCUUUUUAUUCUUUUUGGUCUUAAACUUUCAGCUUAGAUUUGUUUUCCUUGUGAGAAUUUACUCACUUAUGGUUAUGGAUGCCUUGAGUGCAAUGAUUCCGAUACUAUGACGGUUAAGAAACCUGGAAAAGAAUAGUUUAGCUGAAUUAGUUUUAGUUAUGUUCUUAUCUAAUUCAACAAGGUUUUUCGUUGACAUUCCAAAGCAUAGGGGAUUACUAAAGUCUCAUCAACUUUGUCAAAUGUAGGAUCCCCAAUUUAUAGUAUCCUCCAGAAUGAUUCCCAUGAAGGUAAGCAAACAUAUUGCUGCUUUGUUUGAUGUAUCUCUCUACUAAUUUGAAUUUAAGAUCGGUAAGAGUUAUAGAUUCUAUUUGAAAUUUCUGUUUCAGGUUCAUUAAACAAGUACCACAAUCGCACGCUUUAAGGAAGAAUGCAAGGAAAUACACGAGGUCAUUUUAUCUACAAGGUUAAACCAUUAACUUUUUCUGUGCUAUUUGGACGUUUACAAUACAAUCUAAACAUCGUAUUGUCAUUUUAGCCAUACAGGGGUGAAAUGGUGACUCUGAUAACUGGGUAUUACAAAAGUUCUUUGGUAUACAUGUUUAUUGCGUUCUCAAGCCAGGUGGCUUCUAUUCCAACAAAUACCCUUAACAUAAUUCUAGAAGCAUCCUUGAUAACACGUUAUUGUUAUUUAAUACUUAUAAUUCGAAAAAAAAAACUAUUCGUCAUAUCCAAUACUAUUAGUUAGCAUAAGCAAACUAUAGAUCCACAAAAUUUCACCAUAUAAAGAAACAUUCAGAGCAGCAAAAUCAGCUCGCCGGUAUUAAAAAAGCACAAGUCUCCUAUCGCCAAGGCUGAAAUAAAAUUUGUGGAUUUAAUUACUCUAAAUAAGGUCAGUCAAGCAUAUCAUCAAACAUCUAUGAUGCAUAGUCCACUUAAACAAUUAUUAUUGAUAAUCACAUUAUAAAAAACAAAAUUACCCACAAAAGAAGAAGAAGAGGAAGAGGAACAGAAAGUGAAAGAACUGAAGAAAAAGAAUAUGGGUGCAUCUUCGUCUUCUAACAUUUUUGUCACACAAGCUGGUAAAGUAAUCAUACCCAGUGUAUAUUAGCAUCAGAUCACCCAUCCUCCUCUUUCAUUGCUUAUCUCUUCCUUUCUAGAAUCGAUCUGUAGUAUAGCACAAAUCAAGUUUUCAGUAAAACAAUUUAAUUUUGAAGUGAUAAAUUAGUAGGAAAGAUAUACAUAAUGCAUGUCCGAAACAAGUAUAAUCACUGAUAUGCAUGUAAAAAUUCUAGUAAGAAAUUAUUCAAAACAAUAGAAAAAUUAAACAUAUACUCACCAAACAGUAAUUGCCAACAGAGAAAUUGCAUAAAUAACUCACCAGAAAAAAGAUGGAUAAGCUUUGAAAGAGUGAAGAUCAAAUCACGAACUAAGUUAAAAAAUUCUGAAUAGAAAACCCAGAAACGAGGCUAAGAAAUCGUACCAAAGGAGAAAGAAAAGGUAAGAGGGAGAGAAAGGCUCUGGAAGAUUGGAGAAAAUUCUAGAAAGUACGGAUAUAGAUAUGAAGGAAGAAGAAAUGUAUAAAACAGGUGUCACCAAUAACUACACGUAUUUGAUAGUUAAACGUGGGUUUAUAUUUUUACAAUUACGUAUUUACCCUUGGUCGUCCAAAAACCUUCACUUAUUAAUAUGUUAAAUAAAUAUUUGGAUUGUAUUAACUUGCUUAAAGAGGCACUCAGUGUGGAGAAACAUUUAAGAAUGUAUUUAUUUGUUAAGAAACUCUUCAUGUGAUCCUCUGGAGAAUGUGUUCAUGAAAUAUAGUUUUGGAAGGUGUUUUCUUUUAUUAUGAAGAAUUGUAUGCUAAGAUGAUUAUUCGUGUGGUUAAAAAAGUUUGCGGACGUAGUUGUUCAGCCUCAAAUGUGAGGUGCACAGAAUUCUCUUGCUGCACUUUUGGUAAACUCGAAAGAUAUCUUCUAUUUAGAAAAGCUUAAUUGGUUUAUGUUCUUUUUCUUGUUUAAAUGAUUUGAAGUGAACUGAGAAUCUUGUACCAGAUAGUUGUUAACAUAAAUACUUGGAUGAUUUGCAGACAGUGUCAUAUUCCUACGUAGCUGUAUUUUGUAGAGUGUUAAACGUAUUAAACCGAAAUGAAAGGUGACUGCAUGUGCUUUGUGGUAAUGUUGCUGCAUACGGUGUUUAUGAACUACUAAGUUGUUUUAAUUAAUGUUUGUUGGUUCAGAGAUUAUUACACCUAGUUUUGUAACUUCCUAUACCGACAUGGUACUGCAAUUCUUUUAUCCGUCCGUGAUUACAUGUACAUUAUUGACAAAACAAAGUUAUUUGCUGUCCUUAUUUUCAGAAACUCCAAGCACUGUCAACCUAAAAAGGUAAGUUAUGCUAUUUUACUUAACGCAAUCAAUUUGCAUAAACU